UGUGACGGAGGCGCCCACGUGCUCGGCCCGCCCGUGUUACGGCCGCCUACCGGCUGCAGAGGAGAAGGGAGGAAAGGGUGGAAUCUCAACACAAGUGGUAGGCAACUUUGAAAACAAUAAAUAGAUGAAGAAUGGAGAGACCUCAAAAGGAGAGUCUGGGAACCCUAGCCAAAGACCCACAUAUGCUACCAUGUGGCCCUCCCUACUCAACCUCAGUAUAUCUUUACUGAAAAACACAUGCCAAAGAACAACACCCAGAGAGCUGGAAACACUGGAAAAGAUUUCGUGAUGCCCCCAACUUUACUUUAUAGGGAAGGCUAUAAUGUGGUAAAAUCGUGGGGACUUAAUUCCAUCAUAUGGAGGUUACUGAAUGUAUCAGAGACAGCCUGCAGUUCAUCACCACACAAAUUAGGAGCAACGUAAGAAGAGAAAAAGAAAAAGGAA
Molecule: long non-coding RNA, 444 nt
Filed under: Homo sapiens (human)
Lineage: Eukaryota; Metazoa; Chordata; Mammalia; Primates; Hominidae
Description: HSALNT0369500
Source: RNAcentral